AGCGAACGCUGGCGGCAGGCUUAACACAUGCAAGUCGAACGGGCACUUCGGUGCUAGUGGCAGACGGGUGAGUAACACGUGGGAACGUACCUUUCGGUUCGGAAUAAUCCAGGGAAACUUGGACUAAUACCGGAUACGCCCUUCGGGGGAAAGAUUCAUCGCCGAUAGAUCGGCCCGCGUCUGAUUAGCUAGUUGGUGAGGUAAUGGCUCACCAAGGCGACGAUCAGUAGCUGGUCUGAGAGGAUGAUCAGCCACAUUGGGACUGAGACACGGCCCAAACUCCUACGGGAAGCAGCAGUGGGGAAUAUUGGACAAUGGGCGCAAGCCUGAUCCAGCCAUGCCGCGUGAGUGAUGAAGGCCUUAGGGUUGUAAAGCUCUUUUGUCCGGGAAGAUAAUGACUGUACCGGAAGAAUAGGCCCCGGCUAACUUCGUG
Molecule: ribosomal RNA, 433 nt
Filed under: uncultured bacterium
Lineage: Bacteria
Description: partial 16S ribosomal RNA
Rfam family: Bacterial small subunit ribosomal RNA
Source: RNAcentral